CGGCCGGGUCCGUUCGGCGGGCGGCCCGUGAACCUGGUCAGGGCUUGACCGCAGCAGCCAUAAGCGGCGCAGUCCGAGCGUGCGGGUGCCUGGCCGUCU
RNAcentral lists this signal recognition particle RNA (99 nucleotides) under Phycisphaerales bacterium. RNAcentral describes it as "signal recognition particle sRNA small type". It matches the Rfam family "Bacterial small signal recognition particle RNA". From Rfam's summary of the family: The signal recognition particle (SRP) is a universally conserved ribonucleoprotein involved in the co-translational targeting of proteins to membranes. Archaeal SRP consists of a 7S RNA and homologues of the eukaryotic SRP19 and SRP54 proteins. In most bacteria, the SRP consists of a 4.5S RNA and the Ffh protein (a homologue of the eukaryotic SRP54 protein). Lineage: Bacteria; Pseudomonadati; Planctomycetota; Phycisphaerae; Phycisphaerales. The record is from RNAcentral.